Molecule: ribosomal RNA, 451 nt
Filed under: uncultured bacterium
Lineage: Bacteria
Description: partial 16S ribosomal RNA
Rfam family: Bacterial small subunit ribosomal RNA
Source: RNAcentral
ACUAACGCUGGCGGCGUGCCUAACACAUGCAAGUCGAGCGGGGUAGCAAUACCCAGCGGCAGACGGGUGAGUAACGCGUAAAUAACGUGCCCCUUUGUUCGGGAUAGCUGGCCGAAAGGCCAGGUAAUACCGGAUGUGGCCCUCGAGAGACAUCUCUUGAGGAAGAAAGCAGCAAUGCGCAAGGGGAUCGGUUUGCGACCUAUCAGCUAGUUGGCGAGGUAACGGCUCACCAAGGCUUCGACGGGUAGCCGGUCUGAGAGGAUGAUCGGCCACACUGGCACUGAGAUACGGGCCAGACUCCUACGGGAGGCAGCAGUGAGGAAUUUUGCGCAAUGGGCGAAAGCCUGACGCAGCGACGCCGCGUGAGGGAUGAAGGUCUUCGGAUCGUAAACCUCUGUCAGUGGGGAAGAGUACGGACGGUACCCGCUGAGGAAGCUUCGGCUAACUACGU